UGGGGAAUUUUGCACAAUGGGGGAAACCCUGAUGCAGCGACGCCGCGUGAUUUAGAAGGCCUUCGGGUUGUAAAAAUCUUUUGUAUAGGAAGAAAAUGACAGUACUAUACGAAUAAGGUCCGGCUAAUUACGUGCCAGCAGCCGCGGUAAUACGUAAGGACCGAGCGUUGUCCGGAAUCAUUGGGCGUAAAGGGUACGUAGGCGGGUCAUUAAGUUAGAAGUCAAAGGCUAUAGCUCAACUAUAGUAAGCUUCUAAAACUGGAGACCUUGAGUAAUGGGAGGGAAAGUGGAAUUCCUAGUGUAGCGGUGGAAUGCGCAGAUAUUAGGAGGAAUACCGGUGGCGAAGGCGACUUUCUGGCCAUUAACUGACGCUGAGGUACGAAAGCGUGGGUAGCAAACAGGAUUAGAUACCCUGGUAGUCCACGCCGUAAACGAUGAGUGUUAGGUGUCUGGAGUAAAUCUGGGUGCCGCAGCUAACGCAUUAAACACUCCGCCUGGGGAGUACGCACGCAAGUGUG
RNAcentral lists this ribosomal RNA (518 nucleotides) under uncultured bacterium. RNAcentral describes it as "bacterial SSU rRNA". It matches the Rfam family "Bacterial small subunit ribosomal RNA", at positions 355 to 896 of the family's 1533-position model. The record is from RNAcentral.